GUUCAAAGUCCUUUUC
This 16-nucleotide small RNA is filed under the name Arabidopsis thaliana (thale cress). RNAcentral describes it as "ATSL009410". Lineage: Eukaryota; Viridiplantae; Streptophyta; Magnoliopsida; Brassicales; Brassicaceae. The record is from RNAcentral.